AAAUAUUUGUUUGGGAAGAGAAUGAAAAAUGUGACGUUUAUAAAGUAUUUGGACGGAAUAUGGAUAUAGGCACGAAAAGAAACUUUAAGACAAUUGUAAAAAAAGGAAUUUUUAUAUUUUUCAUACAAAGAAAAAGGAUGGAUCCUGCUGGGUCCUGCUGUGGCAGGUAACAAGAAUGACCAGAUAGAGAUUAGAGAACCCUUACCUGGCCAUCCUGACUUCAAGGACUUUGUGGUGGAUCACCAUCUCUUCCUUCGAAAAUUAUGGAAAUAACGUCGUGACGAAUAUAUAUUCACAAUUCUAUUCAAUUAUACGCUUUUGCUACAUAUAUAGUUGCAAUAAUAUAUUUAUCCUGCGUUAUAAAAUGUAUAUAAGAACACAUAAUAUUAAUAAUAUAUCUACAUGUUGAUUAUGAUAAUGAUAUUACAAAGAAAUUCAUGCAAAAAAUGCAUUAUUAGAAUGAAAUAAAAACAUAUAUAAGUAUUACA
Nylanderia fulva is the source of this 488-nucleotide long non-coding RNA. RefSeq lists it as uncharacterized. The record is from RefSeq and is a predicted model, not a curated record. Lineage: Eukaryota; Metazoa; Arthropoda; Insecta; Hymenoptera; Formicidae.